CCCUUAGAUGUUCUGGGCAGCACGCGCGCUACAAUGGUCUUCGCAAACGGAUGCAUUCUCGAAGGAGAAUGCCAAUCUUGGAAUCUAUGCCUUGGUCGGGACAGUUGCUUGCAAUUUUUCGACUCGAACCAGGAAUUCCUUGUAAUCGUGAUUCAUCACAUCACGAUGAAUACGUCCCUGCCCUUUGUACACACCGCCCGUCGCUCCUACCGAUCGAGUGGUCCGGUGAACCUUUUGGACUAAUUACACUUUUGUGUGUUGGGAAUUUAAGUAAAUCUUAUCACUUAGAGGAAGGAGAAGUCGUAACA
Molecule: ribosomal RNA, 308 nt
Filed under: uncultured eukaryote
Lineage: Eukaryota
Description: partial 18S ribosomal RNA
Rfam family: Eukaryotic small subunit ribosomal RNA
Source: RNAcentral